RNAcentral lists this ribosomal RNA (1343 nucleotides) under uncultured bacterium. RNAcentral describes it as "16S ribosomal RNA". It matches the Rfam family "Bacterial small subunit ribosomal RNA", at positions 28 to 1378 of the family's 1533-position model. The record is from RNAcentral.
GACGAACGCUGGCGGCGUGCUUAACACAUGCAAGUCGAACGGAAAGGCCCUGCUUUUGUGGGGUGCUCGAGUGGCGAACGGGUGAGUGACACGUGAGUAACCUGCCCUUGACUUUGGGAUAACUUCAGGAAACUGGGGCUAAUACCGGAUAGGAGCUCCUGCUGCAUGGUGGGGGUUGGAAAGUUUCGGCGGUUGGGGAUGGACUCGCGGCUUAUCAGCUUGUUGGUGGGGUAGUGGCUUACCAAGGCUUUGACGGGUAGCCGGCCUGAGAGGGUGACCGGCCACAUUGGGACUGAGAUACGGCCCAGACUCCUACGGGAGGCAGCAGUGGGGAAUAUUGCACAAUGGGCGGAAGCCUGAUGCAGCAACGCCGCGUGCGGGAUGACGGCCUUCGGGUUGUAAACCGCUUUCGCCUGUGACGAAGCGUGAGUGACGGUAAUGGGUAAAGAAGCACCGGCUAACUACGUGCCAGCAGCCGCGGUGAUACGUAGGGUGCGAGCGUUGUCCGGAUUUAUUGGGCGUAAAGGGCUCGUAGGUGGUUGAUCGCGUCGGAAGUGUAAUCUUGGGGCUUAACCCUGAGCGUGCUUUCGAUACGGGUUGACUUGAGGAAGGUAGGGGAGAAUGGAAUUCCUGGUGGAGCGGUGGAAUGCGCAGAUAUCAGGAGGAACACCAGUGGCGAAGGCGGUUCUCUGGGCCUUUCCUGACGCUGAGGAGCGAAAGCGUGGGGAGCGAACAGGCUUAGAUACCCUGGUAGUCCACGCCGUAAACGGUGGGUACUAGGUGUGGGGUCCAUUCCACGGGUUCCGUGCCGUAGCUAACGCUUUAAGUACCCCGCCUGGGGAGUACGGCCGCAAGGCUAAAACUCAAAGGAAUUGACGGGGCCCCGCACAAGCGGCGGAGCAUGCGGAUUAAUUCGAUGCAACGCGUAGAACCUUACCUGGGUUUGACAUGGAUCGGGAGCGCUCAGAGAUGGGUGUGCCUCUUUUGGGGUCGGUUCACAGGUGGUGCAUGGCUGUCGUCAGCUCGUGUCGUGAGAUGUUGGGUUAAGUCCCGCAACGGGCGCAACCCUUGUUCACUGUUGCCAGCACGUUAUGGUGGGGACUCAGUGGAGACCGCCGGGGUCAACUCGGAGGAAGGUGGGGAUGACGUCAAGUCAUCAUGCCCCUUAUGUCCAGGGCUUCACGCAUGCUACAAUGGCUGGUACAGAGAGUGGCGAGCCUGUGAGGGUGAGCGAAUCUCGGAAAGCCGGUCUCAGUUCGGAUUGGGGUCUGCAACUCGACCUCAUGAAGUCGGAGUCGCUAGUAAUCGCAGAUCAGCAACGCUGCGGUGAAUACGUUCCCGGG